This 338-nucleotide unclassified non-coding RNA is filed under the name soil metagenome. RNAcentral's name for it is "partial contains 5.8S ribosomal RNA, internal transcribed spacer 2, and large subunit ribosomal RNA". The stretch from base 1 to 120 matches the Rfam family "5.8S ribosomal RNA", at positions 35 to 154 of the family's 154-position model. The record is from RNAcentral.
GAUGAAGAACGUAGCGAAAUGCGAUAAGUAGUGUGAAUUGCAGAAUUCAGUGAAUCAUCGAAUCGUUGAACGCACAUUGCGCCCCUUGGUAUUCCAUGGGGCAUGCCUGUUCGAGCGUCAUUUACACCCUCAAGCUCUGCUUGGUGUUGGGCGUCUGUCCCGCUGCUUUGCGCGGACUCGCCUCAAAGGUAUUGGCAGCGAUCAUGCCAGCUUCUCGCGCAGCACAUUGCGCUUCUUGAAGUUCUGGUGGAUCAGCGUCCAUUAAGCUUACCUUCAUGACUUGACCUCGGAUCAGGUAGGGAUACCCGCUGAACUUAAGCAUAUCAAUAAGCGGAGGA